CAGGACAAACGCUGGCGGCGUGCUUAAACAUGCAAGUCGAACGGAGGUUAGGUGUUCCACUAAGCAUUCUAUAUGAGGUGUUAGUGGAAUGCUUACCUUAGUGGCGGACGGGUGAGUAACGCGUGAGUAAUCUGCCUCUAUCUGGGGGACAACAGUUGGAAACGACUGCUAAUACCGCAUAGGACCCAGGUACACAAGUACUAGGGGUGAAAGAUUUAUCGAAUAGAGAUGAGCUCGCGUAGCAUUAGUUAGUUGGUGAGGUAACGGCCACCAAGACUUUGAUGCUUAGCCGAUCUGAGAGGAUGAUCGGCCACACUGGAACUGAGAUACGGUCCAGACUCCUACGGGAGGCAGCAGUUAGGAAUAUUGGGCAAUGGAGGCAACUCUGACCCAACGGCAACGCCGCGUGAAGGAUGAAGGUCCUCGGAUUGUAAACUUCUGUAUUAGAGGAAGAAGAUAGUGACGGUACUCUAAUAGAAAGCUACGGCAAACUACGUGCCAGCAGCGGC
RNAcentral lists this ribosomal RNA (509 nucleotides) under uncultured bacterium. Its description in RNAcentral is "bacterial SSU rRNA". It matches the Rfam family "Bacterial small subunit ribosomal RNA", at positions 25 to 518 of the family's 1533-position model. The record is from RNAcentral.